UACGGAGGAUCCAAGCGUUAUCCGGAUUUAUUGGGUUUAAAGGGUGCGUAGGCGGUUUUUUAAGUCAGAGGUGAAAGACGGUGGCUCAACCAUCGCAGUGCCUUUGAUACUGAGGAACUCGAAUCUACCUGAAGUAGGCGGAAUGUGACAAGUAGCGGUGAAAUGCAUAGAUAUGUCACAGAACACCAAUUGCGAAGGCAGCUUACUAAAGUAGGAUUGACGCUGAGGCACGAAAGCGUGGGGAUCAAACAGG
This 253-nucleotide ribosomal RNA is filed under the name uncultured bacterium. RNAcentral's name for it is "partial 16S ribosomal RNA". It matches the Rfam family "Bacterial small subunit ribosomal RNA", at positions 524 to 776 of the family's 1533-position model. The record is from RNAcentral.